GGAAGGAACAGCACAACGCCACAGACUGAAAUAAGUGAAGCAUGGUCUAAAAGAUUUCCCUUUUCAGCAGAACCAAGAAACCCCAGCAACGCUGCAUCACCAUAAUCUCCUGAGAGCAGUGCAUACCUCGAAACUAUCAUAGAAACCGUGAAAAUGGGUAAUGACGGAUCAGCGGACAGGGCGCGUCAUUUGGAGUGGGAAAGAAAUGAAGAAGAAAAGAAAAGAAUUGAAGAAGAAAAGAGACGAGUAGAAGAAGAAAGGAGACGAUUAGAAGAAGAAAGAAGACGAAAGGCAGCAGAAAAUGAAUUACAGCACAUUAAAAAUGAGAAAGCAAGGAAAGAAGAAAAAGAAAAGGAGAGAGAGGAGGAGAAAAGAAAAGUGAUAGAGCAGCAAAGAGAAAUAGAAAGAAAGGAAAAACAGAGGCUUCAGAACAAGUAGAGCAUCUAGAUUAAAUGUUGAGUGAUGUAUAUAAGUAUAUAAGUUGUGAAUCAGAUCCGUCU
This is a long non-coding RNA of Astyanax mexicanus (Mexican tetra), 500 nucleotides long. RefSeq lists it as uncharacterized. The record is from RefSeq and is a predicted model, not a curated record. The transcript has 3 exons. NCBI's taxonomy places the organism in Eukaryota, Metazoa, Chordata, Actinopteri, Characiformes, Acestrorhamphidae.